CAGCGUCUUCGGAGGCUAUGCCCUGGCGGGCAGCCCCUUCGUGAACACGAUGAAGUCGCAGGUGAACACCUUCGUGAAACAGGCGCUCGCCAAGUACAGCGGCCGGUUCGUCUUCACCUUCAACUUCUACCCGUACUUUGACAC
Molecule: small nuclear RNA, 144 nt
Filed under: Alexandrium catenella
Lineage: Eukaryota; Dinophyceae; Gonyaulacales; Pyrocystaceae
Description: partial Dictyostelium signal recognition particle
Source: RNAcentral